GGGUGAGUCAGGUGGGCAGGCGUGUGUAUGGGUGUGCAUAUGGGCGAGUCAGGUGGACAGGCAUGUGUGUGGGAGAGUCAGGUGAACAGGAUUGCUUAUGGGCUAGUCAGGUGGACAGGUGUGCGUAUGGGUGUGCCUAUGGGAGAGUCAGGUGGACAGGAUUGCGUAUAGCCGGAUCAGGUGGGCAGGCAUGCGUAUGAGCGAGUCAGGUGGGCAGACAUGCGUAUGGGCGGGUCAGGUGGACAGGCGUGUGUAUAGGCAGGUCAGGUGGACAGGCGUGCAUAUGGGUAUGUGUAUGGGCGGGUCAGGUGGGCAGGCGUGCAUACGGGCGGGUCAGGUGGAC
This 343-nucleotide long non-coding RNA is filed under the name Homo sapiens (human). RNAcentral's name for it is "HSALNT0027206". The record is from RNAcentral. Lineage: Eukaryota; Metazoa; Chordata; Mammalia; Primates; Hominidae.